AGCCCAGUCUGGCUGCGACAUCUGUCACCCCAUUGAUAGCCAGGGUUGAUUCGGCUGAUCUGGCUGGCUAGGCGGGUGUCCCCUUCCUCCCUCACUGCUCCAUGUGUGUCACUCCCGAAGUUGUGUGCUCAAGAGUCAGACCGGUCUUCCGUCAAGGGUAUAUGAGUAGCUGCACUCCCCUGCUAGAACCUCCAAACAAGCUCUCAAGGUCCAUUUCUUAGCCUAAUAUCUCAUUGAUAAAUAAUCCCAUCCUACUUUUUUCUUCUUGCCUCGAA
RNAcentral lists this small nuclear RNA (275 nucleotides) under Erinaceus europaeus (western European hedgehog). RNAcentral's name for it is "7SK RNA". It matches the Rfam family "7SK RNA". Rfam says of the family: 7SK was discovered as an abundant small nuclear RNA in the mid-70s but a possible function has only recently been suggested. Lineage: Eukaryota; Metazoa; Chordata; Mammalia; Eulipotyphla; Erinaceidae. The record is from Rfam by way of RNAcentral.